Molecule: long non-coding RNA, 883 nt
Organism: Pistacia vera
Lineage: Eukaryota; Viridiplantae; Streptophyta; Magnoliopsida; Sapindales; Anacardiaceae
Exons: 3
Source: RefSeq, a predicted model, not a curated record
UCUAAAGUGAAGCUGAGAAACUUUGCUGUUGUGGUUCUUCCAGUAGUAUGACUUAGUAGAGCUUGACAUUAAACAAUGCUAAUUCCUUCGAAGAAAUUGAAAUGAACAAUGUGCGUAGACAUCAUUAUAGGCUGAAGUCAGUCUAGAACUUAAAAUUUCAUGAAAUUAAGUACUUCUCGAAAUUUUUUUUUUUUUCGUGGUCGUAAAUAGGCACUACUGGACGUCUGUAUUAUCUGUCAUCUGUUGCAUCAUCUUUGUGCUCCUACUAACUCAUCCAUUUGAACCAGAUUUGCAGAGGUCACCGAGUGGUCAGACAAACCUACAGUAAAGGUAGCAGUCACAGUUGAUGCUCCAUCCAUCGUCAAACUACUCAUGGAUCGGCUUAUGGACUAAUAGAAACACACUUGAAACAGUUCUAUAUGACAAUCCGUAACUUCUGCUUCAAUGAUGCAAGUGUUAUCCACCAAGAAACCCUGUUUUGGAUCCUUGAGUUUAUGCAAUGACAUGAACUUUCUAGCACCCCAAUCCAGGAGUGGAGAAAAAACCGUUUGAACUGCAGGAAGGAAAAAAUGAAGAACAGGAAAGGGAGUUACAACAAGAAAUUAUAGCACUGAUGCAAUCUUUAUAUUGCAUUCAAAUUUUUCUCUAUGCCAGUUCAGAAUGGAUUUCACAAACAACUUAGUACUAGGAGGAAUGCUUUCCUUGUACAACGAUAGAAAUAUUGAAAUACUGUUGCCCUUGCCUUCUGCAUGUCCAUUAGGGUAGAGCGAAAUUCUCCUGCAUUAACGAAAUAUUAAUCAACCCAGGCAGUGGUUUAUCUAGCAAAGAAAAAUAAAAGCCAUUGCAUAUCAGAAGUGAAUUUGUACCAGUUAUAAUCUCCAAA